This 257-nucleotide unclassified non-coding RNA is filed under the name Hevea brasiliensis (rubber tree). Lineage: Eukaryota; Viridiplantae; Streptophyta; Magnoliopsida; Malpighiales; Euphorbiaceae. The record is from RNAcentral.
GAUGUUCAACUAAGCUACACUCUCAAAACUCACAAAUAUUAUAGGAAUUACUCUAUAAAUGAGGUUAUCCACACAUUAAUAUUGCACAAGAUCUCUAAAGCAGCAAUAAAAUAAACUCAAUUUGGAUGUUGUAGAGAAAUAAUUGAGACAAAACUACUGGGGGUGGCUGAACAUGUUUUAUUGCCAACAAUCUCUAAAUGCCCCUCUUUCCAAUAUUAGAGAAAUGAAUUUAUUCAUACGGAUGACUAAGAUGUCAA